UACAGAGGGUGCGAGCGUUAAUCGGAAUUACUGGGCGUAAAGCGCACGUAGGCGGAUGUGUCAGUCAGGGGUGAAAUCCCGGAGCUCAACUUCGGAACUGCCUUUGAUACAGCACGUCUUGAGUCCGGAAGAGGUGGGUGGAAUUCCUAGUGUAGAGGUGAAAUUCGUAGAUAUUAGGAAGAACACCGGUGGCGAAGGCGGCCCACUGGUCCGGUACUGACGCUGAGGUGCGAAAGCGUGGGGAGCAAACAGG
RNAcentral lists this ribosomal RNA (253 nucleotides) under uncultured bacterium. Its description in RNAcentral is "partial 16S ribosomal RNA". It matches the Rfam family "Bacterial small subunit ribosomal RNA", at positions 524 to 776 of the family's 1533-position model. The record is from RNAcentral.